CACAUUGCUUGAUCUGAAAUUACUUAGUGAGGUUCUGGGUGGGGCAGUGAAGCUCUCAUGUGGAAUUUCGAGGGCAGCAAAUUGGGGUAGCGUUGUUCUGCUGCUUUGAUCCAGCUGCUGUGUGUAUUGUGGGCAGUUGUGCAUGUUAGUGUUGUGAAGUGUGUGGUGAGCCUAUCACAACCUUCAGCGAUGGAUGUCUCGGCUUGGACAACGAUGAAGGGCGCAGCGAAGUGUGAUAACCUUUGUGAAUUGCAGAAUUCCGUGAAUCAAUAGAGCUUUGAACGCGUGUUGUGCUGUUGGGAUAUACCUGACAGCAUGCCUGCUUUGGUGCCUUCUUGUGUGACUUCUGGUGGCAGGCAUAAGCACGCCUCGUGUGCUUGUGUGCAACCUGUGUGUAUGUGCAUGCCAGGGUGCCCAAACUUGCCCUUGCUAUGCAUAAUGAAUGUGAAGCUCUGUGUGCCAACAGCUACCUGAGCCAUGUGUUGGAUGCUGUUAGCCUGCUUGGCGGCGGAGACACUCCCAAUUUGCCAUUUGCUUCUGUUAUGAGAGACAUGAAGUUAGGCUAGCAAACCUGCUGAACUUUAAGCAUCUGUCGAACUG
This 600-nucleotide ribosomal RNA is filed under the name Phalacroma rotundatum. RNAcentral's name for it is "eukaryotic LSU rRNA". The stretch from base 179 to 333 matches the Rfam family "5.8S ribosomal RNA". Lineage: Eukaryota; Dinophyceae; Dinophysales; Dinophysaceae. The record is from RNAcentral.